GAUCAUGUUAAUUUCAUUACAGAAAUUCUUUCCUAAACAAUGUAUUUGUGUUUAUAUUUAUAUGGUACUUCAUAAUACUUUCAUUCUGGAUGAGGAAUUCUUUGGCUUGACAGACUGUUGAUACUUUGUUGUAGGAGGCUGUACUGCGCAUUAUAGGAUGUUUAGCAACAUCCCCAGCCCCUAUUGCAUAGAGUCAGUAGCAUGUAGACAGUUGUGACAAUCAAAAAUAUUUCUAGACAUUGCCAAAUAUUCCCUGGGAGGUAAAAUCACUCUUAGUAGAAAUUAGGUGUGAAAUUUCAUUUCUAAAGGUAUUAGGGUUUACCUGUAACAAAACAAAACCAAAAAAUUGCUUAGAUUAGGCUGUACUAGGAAGCAUUCCUGGUUUUUUUUGAUCUUCUUUCCCGCUAUGCACCAAUAACUUCCCAAGACCUCACAACCUGAUUUAUCAGAGCAUGCGCAAAAAUUCUGUAGAAACUUCUGUACUCUACAGUAUUUCUCUGCUUCCCAGAAAGAUCAGUAUCUUCUUCUUUUUUUAAAUUUGGAAUUCCAAUCAAGCAGUGUUUUCCUGAGACCCUGGGUUUGAUGUAUAAUGUUAGGAAUAUGGAUGAUUUAACAGAUUUGAAUUGUGUAUACCAUGUGCUUCUUGCACAAUGAAUUUGUUGGAUCAAUAAGUAUUAUAAUUAUUUUUUUCUUAGAUAUAAAUUUACAGACCUUAAAGAAUGUGUAGCUAUUGUCUUUUGCUUUGUAAAUCCUUGUUCUUUGGAAUCUUAAAGAAAAUUAAGAGGCAAUUAUAAUUUUAGAAAUGACCUACAUACCCAGAUUUGUCAGGUAACACUGGUGUCCAAACCAGCCUGCCUCUAGAUACAUAACAUUAAGAAAAAAUGCCCUGUAGUCCUCAUAGGUUGCCCUCUGCUUCAGAGACCCCCAUUGCUUUAGCAGUGAUGCUGGUGUAAUCAUUAAGAAGAAGGAGGAGGAGAUGCUCUGUUUUCAGUUUUUUUUCCCUAUCAAGAUAACUUCCAGCAAUCUAGAGAAACAACAUUCUAGGAAAGCAGAUGAUUGUGAGAAAAAAAGAAAUGUUGAAAGGCUUCCUCCUUUCUCCUUCAAUUAGAAAUGUACCUCUAAAUUUCAUUAGAAUCAAUUAGCUGUCUCCAAGUAUUGUCCGUGGAUAUAGUAACAAAAAUAGGUCAAAUUCUCAUUCUUAUCUCUGGCUGCUCACUGAUUUACUCUCCAGUUUCUUGAAACAGCACUCCACACACACCUGCUUUCCACAUACACCAGGAAGUGUCCCACAUAUGCUCAUCAAUAUUUGCUCACAAUUCAGGUGAUCACUGACAGGUCCCCCACUGCAUGACAUCUCUAAAAACUUCUGGUGAGUUUAGAUUUGGUAUCAUGCCAGCAAUAUCAAAUGUAAUCCUACCACUGCCUUUCUAACUUCAUCUCCUACUGUGCUUCGCCUUACUCUGGGCUCAAGAGGACUGGCUUUCUUUCUGUUUCUCUGAUACAUCACAUUUGCUUCUGCCUCAUAGCCAUUGUGUUUAUUGUUUUCUCUGCCCAGAACGUUCUUAACCUUUGCAUGACUGGUUCUGUUUUUAUCAUUCACCAAGGUUAAACUGCAGCUUCCUCAGAGAGGACAUCUCACAAUCACGCUCUGUCUCAUUACUAUGUUACCAUGUACCACUGUUUGAAAUUUUAUUUCUUUGUUUACCAUCUGUAUCCUUCACUAGAAUGCCAGCC
Molecule: long non-coding RNA, 1734 nt
Filed under: Marmota monax (woodchuck)
Lineage: Eukaryota; Metazoa; Chordata; Mammalia; Rodentia; Sciuridae
Source: RNAcentral